UUGCAGAACUAAAGUAACGCAAGCAGGGCUUGGAGCACCGCGCUGAUGAGUUUCAGGGCUGAAUAGCUAUCUGUGUGGGUGUGAAUAAAUGUGGACCAUUCAUGGCAGCAUCUGGUGUGGAAACCUUUGGGAAUUGCCAGUUGGGGACGAACAGCUGAGCCUUCUCUUCACACCCACCUUCGGAAGGUUCAGCCCUCUUGUGAACGAUGUGUAAAAGUAGCGUCCUUGGAGCUUCAUACCUUCAGCAACACUUCAGUUUCCUGCACAGAAACCCCACACUCACCAUUUGAAUCUCUGCAUUACAAAUGGUGUCGUCACAAGAUUGUGGCUCUUUGACCUGAACUUGAGGUACAUCUCAUUCUUUCAUCGUCGGUUUUGUUAGUCAACAACAACGUUAACGAUUUUUUAGCUGGAUCAGGAGCUAAGAGAAGCACAUCUCUUGGCGGUCUCACCAUCGAACUGUAUGAAAACAAUUUCUGCUAGAAGGUUAAGGUUUUCGAGCAUUCAGGAAUGAAGAUGAGGUUGCAGAACUAAAGUAACGCAAGCAGGGCUUGGAGCACCGCGCUGAUGAGUUUCAGGGCUGAAUAGCUAUCUGUGUGGGUGUGAAUAAAUGUGGACCAUUCAUGGCAGCAUCUGGUGUGGAAACCUUUGGGAAUUGCCAGUUGGGGACGAACAGCUGAGCCUUCUCUUCACACCCACCUUCGGAAGGUUCAGCCCUCUUGUGAACGAUGUGUAAAAGUAGCGUCCUUGGAGCUUCAUACCUUCAGCAACACUUCAGUUUCCUGCACAGAAACCCCACACUCACCAUUUGAAUCUCUGCAUUACAAAUGGUGUCGUCACAAGAUUGUGGCUCUUUGACCUGAACUUGAGGUACAUCUCAUUCUUUCAUCGUCGGUUUUGUUAGUCAACAACAACGUUAACGAUUUUUUUCCUGCCUUUGAUGAACCACCGUAAUGAAACUAGUGUAACCAUUGUUAGCCCAAUAGGAUCAAGUCUUCACCACACCAU
RNAcentral lists this long non-coding RNA (1008 nucleotides) under Physcomitrium patens. RNAcentral's name for it is "long non-coding RNA (PPAT_LNC002922)". Lineage: Eukaryota; Viridiplantae; Streptophyta; Bryopsida; Funariales; Funariaceae. The record is from RNAcentral.